RNAcentral lists this ribosomal RNA (253 nucleotides) under uncultured bacterium. RNAcentral's name for it is "partial 16S ribosomal RNA". It matches the Rfam family "Bacterial small subunit ribosomal RNA", at positions 524 to 776 of the family's 1533-position model. The record is from RNAcentral.
UACGAAGGGGGCUAGCGUUGUCCGGAAUCACUGGGCGUAAAGGGCGCGUAGGCGGCGCGGGUAGUCAUCGGUGAAAGUUCAGGGCUCAACUCUGAAUCGGCCGGUGAUACUCCCGUGCUCGAGCACUGUAGAGGCAGGUGGAAUUCCGGGUGUAGCGGUGGAAUGCGUAGAGAUCCGGAAGAACACCGGUGGCGAAGGCGGCCUGCUGGGCAGUAGCUGACGCUGAUGCGCGACAGCGUGGGGAGCAAACAGG